UUCAGCAGGGACGAAGCGAGAGUAGACGGUACCUGCAGAAGAAGGACCGGCCAACUCACGUGCCAGCAGCCGCGGUAAUACGUAGGGUCCGAGCGUUGUCCGGAAUUAUUGGGCGUAAAGGGCUCGUAGGCGGUUUGUCGCGUCGGGAGUGAAAACUCAGGGCUCAACCCUGAGCGUGCUUCCGAUACGGGCAGACUAGAGGUAUGCAGGGGAGAACGGAAUUCCUGGUGUAGCGGUGGAAUGCGCAGAUAUCAGGAGGAACACCGGUGGCGAAGGCGGUUCUCUGGGCAUUACCUGACGCUGAGGAGCGAAAGCAUGGGGAGCGAACAGGAUUAGAUACCCUGGUAGUCCAUGCCGUAAACGUUGGGCGCUAGGUGUGGGGACCUUCCACGGUCUCCGUGCCGCAGCUAACGCAUUAAGCGCCCCGCCUGGGGAGUACGGCCGCAAGGCUAAAACUCAAAGGAAUUGACGGGGGCCCGCACAAGCGGCGGAGCAUGCUGAUUAAUUCGAUGCAACGCGAAGAACCUUACCUGGGUUUGACAUAUACCGGAAAGCUGCAGAGAUGUAGCCCCCU
RNAcentral lists this ribosomal RNA (574 nucleotides) under Aeromicrobium sp. Ri3Pt_4465. Its description in RNAcentral is "bacterial SSU rRNA". It matches the Rfam family "Bacterial small subunit ribosomal RNA", at positions 434 to 1017 of the family's 1533-position model. Lineage: Bacteria; Bacillati; Actinomycetota; Actinomycetes; Propionibacteriales; Nocardioidaceae. The record is from RNAcentral.